This 377-nucleotide long non-coding RNA is filed under the name Mytilus galloprovincialis (Mediterranean mussel). Lineage: Eukaryota; Metazoa; Mollusca; Bivalvia; Mytilida; Mytilidae. The record is from RNAcentral.
GGAGUUUACCAUGUUUACAAUACUUACGGAAACAAUCGAAAUAAUUAUAGUUUGCAUUAUCAUUGCUUGUAUUUUUAUACCGAGUAUCAUGUUGGAUGAUGAUAUUUGACUUGUGAAGGAUUGACAAAAGAUUUUUAUAUUGUGGAUUAAAUGGAACAUUUGAAAUAUUCCUAAUGUGUGGAUUACAUGAGAUAUCCAAAUGUUGUUUACGUGAUGUAAAAUAGGACUAUGUAUCGGUUCUACUAAUAUAAGGAUUAAAAUGGACGGAUAAUUUGUUAUAGAGCAAGGAUGUAUCAUGGAAGAGGUUGUUUUAUGGAUAGCUAUUGAGAUAAACAGAGAAAUUGAAUUCAGAUAUAUGUGGAUUAAUGAAUUGAUAU